UACGUAGGGUGCGAGCGUUGUCCGGAUUUAUUGGGCGUAAAGAGCUCGUAGGCGGUUUGUCGCGUCGGCCGUGAAAUCUCCACGCUUAACGUGGAGCGUGCGGUCGAUACGGGCAGACUUGAGUUCGGUAGGGGAGACUGGAAUUCCUGGUGUAGCGGUGAAAUGCGCAGAUAUCAGGAGGAACACCGGUGGCGAAGGCGGGUCUCUGGGCCGAUACUGACGCUGAGGAGCGAAAGCAUGGGGAGCGAACAGG
Molecule: ribosomal RNA, 253 nt
Filed under: uncultured bacterium
Lineage: Bacteria
Description: partial 16S ribosomal RNA
Rfam family: Bacterial small subunit ribosomal RNA
Source: RNAcentral